Molecule: non-coding RNA, 26 nt
Filed under: Cricetulus griseus (Chinese hamster)
Lineage: Eukaryota; Metazoa; Chordata; Mammalia; Rodentia; Cricetidae
Source: RNAcentral
UAGCACUUGCAUAUGUUUUUGUUCAG